GAUGAACGCUAGCUACAGGCUUAACACAUGCAAGUCGAGGGGCGAGCAUGUCGGUUGGCUUGUCAACCGAUGAUGGCGACCGGCGCACGGGUGAGUAACGCGUAUCCAACCUACCCUUGUCCAUCGGAUAACCCGUCGAAAGGCGGCCUAACACGAUAUGCGGUUUACAGCAGGCAUCUAAGGUGAACGAAAUGUGAAGGAGAAGGAUGGGGAUGCGUCUGAUUAGCUUGUUGGCGGGGUAACGGCCCACCAAGGCUACGAUCAGUAGGGGUUCUGAGAGGAAGGUCCCCCACAUUGGAAC
Molecule: ribosomal RNA, 301 nt
Filed under: uncultured bacterium
Lineage: Bacteria
Description: bacterial SSU rRNA
Rfam family: Bacterial small subunit ribosomal RNA
Source: RNAcentral